Long non-coding RNA from Betta splendens (Siamese fighting fish), 1162 nucleotides. RefSeq lists it as uncharacterized. The transcript has 3 exons. Lineage: Eukaryota; Metazoa; Chordata; Actinopteri; Anabantiformes; Osphronemidae. The record is from RefSeq and is a predicted model, not a curated record.
CUUCACGUUAAGGAUGGGUCUGUCACAGCACUGAUCCCCAGUUUACUCCAACAGCUCUACGUUAUCGCUGACAGCCAGAUCGCCAUUUCUGGACCGAUCAUACCGUAACUGUCAGGGUUUCCUCCAUGAAAGGCUCGACGUGUUUCUGCCGUUUAUAGCCGAGGCAGAGGUCCGUACAGGUUGUACUGUGCGUGGUAUGUUCGCCAGUCAGCGCAAGUGAAGCGAUCUAUUAAAGUGACAAACGCGAUAAGGCGCUACUAAAAGCGGAUUAUUACUCAGUUUGCACUCACAACGGUGCCUUAAAAAGGCAACUACGAACCGAACUUUAAUAGCCAGGAGAGGUUAAACUCCCAGCGCUAGCUAAACUGUGCUAAAACGUAACUUGGGAUUUCGGCCUCGUCGGAGCAGGAAGUAACUUGUAUGCGCCGCUUAUCUCAGAGGACCAGCCAAACAAGGACCAAACAUCUGUACGCAAUUGGCGUAACGGAGGGUGGCGGCCACGGGCGCAAUAGCGAGGUGGAGACAGAAGCGCAUUCCUACGUACGCUCCAGCGAGUUGGAACGCAUCCGAGGAAUGACUGGCAUUGGCCUUGAUGUGGAGAAAAGCACUUAAGGAGAUAAAUAACCGAGCUGCGAAGCUCGAGGGAGGUGUGGACCAGCUUGAGUCCAGAGGCCUGAAGACCCUGUAAGACGCUGAACCAAUAGCGGAGCACUUCCUCAUCACUUCCGCCCACCUCAAAACCUGCCCAUCGCAUGUGCACAGUGGCAACCAGAUGAUGGACGCUCUGUAGAGUUCCCGACUCAAUCCAGUUCUGGAAAACUCUCCACUCAGCACUGAGCAAGUUAGCAUAUAAGAAGUGAACCUAAAGACAAAGAGAAUGAGGAGAAGAGAAUGCUACAUCAAUUUCCUGAAAACGACUGCUUUAUAUUAUUACAUUCACAAUACAAAUAAAUUGUAGCUGUAUUUUACAGAAAAUACAUUUUUUCUUGAUGGAGAAUAGAUAUAAGAUGAACAUCAUAAAAUAUAAGGAAACUACAAAUUUGUAAAAAGAAAAUUUUUCCAUAGUAGAUAUGCUGGGGUUUUUUUAUAUUGUGCAGCCCUGCUGAUUUCUACAGCUUACAUCAAAUUGUGUACAGUCCAAUAUUAAAACUCAUUAAACUCA